UCCCUAUCAAUAAAGGCCUCAGACCAAGC
Molecule: small RNA, 29 nt
Filed under: Bombyx mori (domestic silkworm)
Lineage: Eukaryota; Metazoa; Arthropoda; Insecta; Lepidoptera; Bombycidae
Description: ovarian small RNA-27377
Source: RNAcentral